AAAAUAGAAAUGAACAACGCUACCGCACCUGCUCCGACAAUGGCACUGUUUUCUUGGGUUGAAGCAGGGGGAGGUUGCGCAAUCACAGACACACCGAGUGGAAUAAGUGAACACCAGGGUUUGACAAUUUGAUGACAUGUGUAAAAAAUGUACACUUGCCCAAAUCAUGAUGAUAGGAUAGAUAGGGAAGUAACAAAUCGCCUGAAUACGGAUAUUGGAUAAUGCUAUAUGGUAGUAAAAAUGGAUAUCUAAGAGGGGAAAAAAAAUGACCCUUUCUUCUUUUUUUUUCUAGGCAUCUUUUUCCCCAUUCAAUUAACUGAGAUUUACUAGCACUGGGAACCCCUGCGGCAGGAGAGAGCACCAGCAUUGGAAGUAAUGGAGCCAACCAUGGAAGAGGACUUGGCUCCCAAGCUUGAAGCUCUAGCAUAGCUGGCUGAGGCACCGGCACCAGAUGGGGUGAAGUAGGCUCCAUUCAACAGCAGGUCUCCUUCUGACCUCCAAUU
RNAcentral lists this long non-coding RNA (503 nucleotides) under Vitis vinifera (wine grape). RNAcentral's name for it is "long non-coding RNA (VVIN_LNC001436)". Lineage: Eukaryota; Viridiplantae; Streptophyta; Magnoliopsida; Vitales; Vitaceae. The record is from RNAcentral.